Molecule: ribosomal RNA, 403 nt
Filed under: Thelotrema adjectum
Lineage: Eukaryota; Fungi; Ascomycota; Lecanoromycetes; Ostropales; Graphidaceae
Description: SSU rRNA
Rfam family: Bacterial small subunit ribosomal RNA
Source: RNAcentral
UAUUGGUCAAUGGCCUAACGGCUGAACCAGCAACUUGGAGGAAUGUAUAGAGAAAGCUGGUAAAAUGCGAUGUAUCUAGUAGUAUUAGAAAUUAAUAUGAUAUUAACUAAGUUAAUUAAAAUUCAAAGUAGAUAUCUGAUAAUGACAGUAUUUGCUUAUGUCUUGACCAAAUCACGUGCCAGCAGUCGCGGUAAGACGUGGAAGAUAAGUGUUAUUCAUGUUUAACAGGUUUAAAGGGUACCUAGACGGUUAAUUAAACACUGUAAUGUAUUAGUUAACUAGAGUUUGAUAUAAGAAGGAUUGAGUACGGUGAGUGUAGAGAUAAAAUUCUAUUAUACCAUUAUGGAACUGGUAAAGGCGAAGGCAACCUUCUAUGUAAAAACUGACGUUGAAGGACGAAGGA